Molecule: long non-coding RNA, 12400 nt
Organism: Neofelis nebulosa (Clouded leopard)
Lineage: Eukaryota; Metazoa; Chordata; Mammalia; Carnivora; Felidae
Exons: 3
Source: RefSeq, a predicted model, not a curated record
GGGAGGAGCCGCUGGGCCCCCGGACACGCGGUUCCUGCACAGACACUCUUCCGCGCCGCCGAAGGCGGCGGCGGUAGCUGCCGUUUACCAGCAGGAAAGUAUGAGAGGCCGGCAGGGGAGGAGGAAGGCGGCUCCCGCGCCGCGUUACCUGAUCAGAGCGGCGACCCUCAUGCUGGGCGCAGUACGCGUUAGCAAAGAUUUCAAAGAAGAAAAGCUGGUGAAGAUACCAAUGUCGGCAAGAAUACGGGGAAAGGAACAAUCUCAUGCUUGGUUACUGGAGAAUUUUGUUAUCUGUAAAAUGGGAUUAAAAUAUGAUCUACCACACCUAGUUGUUGUAAGAAUUAAAUUAAAUAGACCAUCAUAAUUACAUAGUCUAUUGUUAUUUUACAUAAAGAGAGAUCUGGAAAAAAAUCAUCAAUGUGUUGGUGGUGGCAGUCUUUGGGUGGUAAAAUUGAAUUGAAUUUUUGAUUCCAUAUAUAUACCUUUCUGUAUUGUUUUGGUUUUCUAAAAUUAAUACAAAUGUUUGUAAAUAAAGUCAAUGAUAGUUGGAAGAAGAGAUGAUUGGUAGAAUGGAAGGAGGGAAGGAAGAGAGAUGGGAUACCUGACUGCUUCAGGGUUGGUCUCACAGGGAGCCAAUUCUCUGAUGAAGUUACAGAAAAGUAUGAAGAGUAGAUCCAUAGAUCUUCAGCUCCAUAGAUUUUAGAAAUCAACUUUACUAUUUAUCCAAUGUAGACCAGAUGGUAGGGAACUGAUGGAAGCUACGUAGUUUCAUGGAGGACUCAUUAAUAAACCAGAAUGUAUAUGAGUCAGCUGAUUCUUUCGCCACUAGGAAAACACAAAUUAGAAAUAUUCUUUCAUCAAAACAUUGCUUGAUAAAUUAAAACCACAAUGAGAUACCACCACAUACCCACUAGAAUACCUGAAGUUAUAAAGACUAACAUUACUAAGUGUUGGCAAGGAUAUGGAUAAACCAAAACUUUAAUACACUGUUAGUAAGAAUACAAAAAUGGUACAGCCUCCUUGUAAGAGUUUGUCAGUACCAUAUAAAGCUAAGCAUAAUUUACCUUAUGACCCAGCAAUUCCAGUCCUAGGUAUUUACCCCAAAGAAAUAAACACAUGUGUCUAUGCAAAAAAAAAAAAAAAACAAAAAAAAAACAAUGUGAAUGUUUGUAGCAUUAUUUAUAAUAAGAAAAUGAAAGCAACCCAAUCUCCAUCAAGUGGUAAGUGGAUAAACAAAUUAUACCAUGGAAUAGCGCUCAGCGAUACACACAACAUGAACGAAUUUCAAAAACAAGCUACAGUGCGUUAAGUAUGAUUUCCUUGAUAUGAAAUUCUAGAAAAGGCAAAGCUACCAGUGACAGAAAGGGAAUCAGUGUUGCCUGGUGUCAGUGGUGAGGAGAGGUCAUUAAGGGCAAAAGGCCUUGAGGAGACAUUUUAGCGUGAAAGUGCUGUUCUACAUAUUGCUAGUAACAGUAGUUAUGCAAUUACCAAAAUUCAUCAAACUAUACAGUUAAAAUUGGUUAAAAUUUUUAUAUGUAAUUAAUACCUUAAAUUAUUGGUAAGUUACUGGUAAGGAUAGAGUUCAUUUUUAUUAUCUGAUAAAUUAUAUUCCAUUAAUUCACUUUCUCAAAAUGCGUAUCUGUAUAUGAAUGAGUAUAUGUACUAUAGGAAUUAAACUUUGAAGGAGACUAGAAUGUCUACAUCCAUUGGUGGAGACAUCCUUUUCUUUCAUUCUUUUCCCCCAGUAAUGGGAGUUCUGGAAUUCUAUAUCAAAGAUGUUUUAGGAGUGGCUAUGUAGUUAAAAGUGUGUUUGUAUAGUAAGCAUACUCGUAUUUAAGUUGUGAGUUUAUUUGAGGCUAGUGUUAGAUAUUAUAGAGGAGCUAAAGCCUCCUAAAUCAUCUUUAGUGGCACUUACAUUUUCGAGUAUUGUAUUGAUGUCAGGCACUAGUCAGUUAUAAAUAUAUGAAAGAAAAUUUGCAUUACACAUUAAUAUUAUAAGCAGCAUACUUUAAAACUUUGCCUGAAGGGUAAGACUUUAUUUCUGCAGAUAGUUAAUUUCUUCACUAUUCUGUUUUUCUUCUGAUUGAUGAGUUUUACUAGAUUCAAUUUCAUAGAGAAGGAUAACAGUAAUGUAUAUGUUGAUUUUAUUGCCAAAUUCUGACAAUUAUUUACAUUUAGACCCUUCAUCCCUUUCAAGUCUUCAUGUGUAUAUUCAACCAUUUUAAAUGUAGUACCAACUCAGUGUUUAUCCUGUGUCCUUUUUAUGGACUUCUGACCAUAUCAAAGGUUGAAAAGGUAUUCCAAUAUUUUCCUAAAAAUAUGUUUUGGAGUCGGCUUACCUGAAUUUGAAUUUUGGUUCUGAGAUAUUGGUUCGUAAUUUCAGCAAGAUGUUUUUCCUUGAUCUGUAAAAGAGGCAUAUCUAUGCUUACCUUAUGAAAUGAAGAUUAAAUGUAUAUAAAUGCACUAGUCAUGGGGCGCCUGGGUGGGUCAGUUGGUUGAGCAACUGACUUUGGCUCAGGUCAUGAUCUCAUGGUCUGUGAGUUCAAGCCCCAUGUCAGGCUCUGUGCUGACAACUCAGAGCCUGGAGCCUGUUUCUGGUUCUGUGUCUCCUCUCUCUGCUUCUCCCCUGCUUGUACUCUGUCUCUCUCUCUCUCUCUCUCUCUCUCUCAUAAAAAUGAGUAAACAUUAAAAAAAAUUUUUUUUAAUAAAUGCACUGGUCACAAUAUCUGUCACAUGCAAACUCUUAAGCAAACACUACAAAUGAUAGAACAAUAUUUAUAACAAGCCAUGAAGGAAUGAAGAUAAAUUCAUAUAAAAAUGUUCACUUAGUCCAAAAGGAGGUAAGAAAAAAAGAGUAAAAGGAGAAGAGAAAAAUGAAACAAAACAAUAAGCUGAUAGAUUUAAAUCUAACAAUAUCAGUAAUCACAUUAAAUGUCAAUGUCCAAACACUUAAAAUACAGGUUGAAAGAUUCAACAAGAAAGCAAGACCCGACUACCCUGUUUACAAAAAACACUGUUUAAAUAUGAAGUCAUAGACAAAUGAAAAGUAAAAGGAUGGAAAAAAGAUAUAUACUAUGCAAACACUGGUCAAAAAAAAGCUAUAUACAUAUAUAUGAGAAAAUGUAGAUUUCAGAGUAAGGAAUAAAAUUAGUCUCUCUGCUUCCUCAGAUCUCCAGUCCCCCAGAUCCCUUCCUGUGAGGCAACACAUUACCCAUUUUUCUGUAUCUUUCCAGAAUGAGUUUAUGAAUAUAUAAGCAUAUAUCACUUUUAUUUUUCACCAAGGGGAGCAUACUGUAGUCACUGUCGUCUACUUUGUUCUUCCAAAUAUAUCUAGGACAUUAUUCUGUAUCACUACAUAUGGAUUUAUCUCAUUCUUUUUAACUGCUGUAUGGUAAAGUAUAGGGGGAAAAAAGUAUUAACUAAACUAUGGUAAAGUCUGUUUUUUGGAAGGUCUCCAUCAAGAACACUAGUGCUCCAAAUUCUAGCUAACAUGGCUAAGUGAGACUCCUCCAAAAUAUGAUUGGGAUGUAACUAAUUUAAAGAACUCAGGACACCUGCAUCUCCAGCACAUUCAAACCUAAGGUCAAUAUCCUGAUAUGUCACACAUUCAAACCUAAGGUCAAUAUCCUGACAUGUUACACUCCCACUGAGUCACUCCAACUCACAUUUCUACCAGUUUGUUACUUUUUGAGGACACCAUCCUCCACCUACUUAGUAUUCAAGGUAAUUCUUAACUUCCCCUUCUCCCUGAUGUUUCCCCAGUCUGUAACCAAGUCUUACAGAUUGUACUCUCAAGGUGUCUCAAUAAGUUGGAGAUGGAUGAUGAAAUUCUUGAAGUUCAUUGUUACCUAUUCAAUGCACUGGAACUAAGACUAGUAUCUGCAUCCAGUUCCAAUCUCCAUUGCCAGAUGUUUUGUCUAUAAAAUUGCAUCAGAGGACUUAAGAUGUUUCUUAAGUGAUAAAUUGAUGUUUUUAAUAUUCCCUAUUCAAAAAGUUUAUUUCCAUAUUCUUUCUUUAUAAUUUUAUUUAUUGCUAUUCUUAUUUAGGAAGAUAUUUCGGUCUGGUGGGAUAUACAGUUUUAUAAUUAUAGUGUGGUAUUAUGGUUCUUCUUUUGACAAGCUCCAAGUACUUCAACAAGUUCUGUUUCAUAUAUCCUAAUAAUAUCCCUUUGAAAUAGGUUGAAGAAAAUAUUUUGUUUUCAAUUUACUAAUGAAAGAACGGAAACAGAUAUAUCAGGUGAUUAGUGCUUGGCUACGCAGUGUGUUAGUGACCAAGCUGGGACUGGAACCCAGGUUUCCUGACUUUCAAGCCAGAUUAUGUGUUUCAGAAUCAUAAAACUGUCUACUCUGUAAUUUUGAAAAAGUAAUGGUGUAUACUCUCACACAUUCUGAAUUUCUAGAGCUGUAAUAAUAAUCCGUUAAAAAAAGAAAACAAUCUUCCUUAGAGAAUCUCACUGGAAAGGAACAGUUCUCAAGAAAUGUAGAGAAUACAUAUUCAACCCCUGAUUUUCUUCAUUAAGCACUUCUCUGUGAAAUGAACUUAAAAUGUGAUGACAUCAGAUUCAAUAUUACACCUAUUUUUAUUCCCCUAAAAUAUUGUCCAAACAUAUAAAUGCCCUAGACUCUAAAUCAAUCAUUUGAAAGUGGCCGACCACAGCUUUGAAAAUAUUGGGAGCAUCAUAAACAUCAUGCCCAUCUGUCAUUUCUUUUUCAUCAUGGAACAUAUAUAGCCUACAAUCAUUCAGAGCAAUAUCUCAUGGCUCAGGUAAAGCCUUAUGAAUAACUUUCUCUGUUCAGCUGUGCAAUUCUGAGUAAUUAGAUGAAUUCAAAAGUCCAACAAACUAAAUUCUAAAAGGUGACUCAAUGGCAGCAGGAAUAGUUAAAUAAACUAGUUUAUUUUAAUGGAAAACCUGAUAUUUCUUUGAAGUAGAGCAAUUUGCAAGAAGAACUGGAAAAACUAGCAUAUGAAAGGAGAAUUUAAAGUUGGAGCAUUUUCUUUGCAAUUGUAGAAUACAUUAGAAUUUGAUUGAACAACGUUUUAUUUAUGGUCCUUUUCCCUUUGAGCUUUUAUUUCAUCAAUAAGAUUUCUGUAUGUUGGUGUUGUUUUUUGUAGAAAAUUUUAGUAGGUUACCAAAAUUUUAUUGUGUUUAGCAAUGUGUACAUUGGAUUAUGUGCUUACAUAUUUCUAAUAUUGUUUUUCAUUUCUCAUCUGUGUAUCUCAGCGCAUACACACAGGAUACAUACUCUGCACAUACCUGCAAGAUAAGUGAUAUUUGAAAAUUAUUUAAGUAUGAGGAAGGAGAACAUAUAUAGUUGGUAUGAUUUAAUUUAUCUACAAUAAAAAACAUGACAAAUGAAAUAGGUAAGAUUUUUAAGCAAGCAAAAUUUAGUAUAUAAACACUGAUGGAAUGAAAAUAAUAAGCGAUGUUUGAUGAUGAAUAGACAGUGAAUACUUAAAAUAAUUUAUCAUGAAAUUGGCAUUAUAAUUCUAGAAAUUAAACAAAAGAAUAUUCUUCUGUAUCUCCUUACAAACAUUUCUUUUAAUUUUUCCAUAUUUAAUUUUUUAAUUGUUUGCACAUACACACACAUAAUUUUAACAUAAUUAUUUUGAGUACAUGUAAUUUUGUAUUUUGACUUGGAAAAAUGAAUGCUUUUUAUAGGUAAGAAGUUCUUUGGAAAAUUGUAGUGGGUAUUAAUUUGAUUCAAUAUCUCAAAAUAUUGAUAAUAAAAAUAUUUAGGAAGAAUCUUUCUCUAAAAUCUCAAAUCUUUUUAAAAUAAAAGAUGGAGUGGGUAUCAGGGUGGCUCAGUCAGUUAAGCAUCCAACUUCAGCUCAGGUUAUCUCAUAAUUCGUGAGUUCGAGCCCCACAUCAGGCUUUAUGCAGACAGCUCAGAGCCUGGAGCCUGCUUCGGAUUCUGUGUCUCCCUCUCUCUCUGCCCUCCCCCUCCUCACGCUCUGUCUCUCUCUCAAAAAUAAAUAAACAUUAAAAAAAAAAAGAGAGAGAGAGAGAAAAAAAAGAUGGAGUUAUAAAUUAAUAAAGAACACAUAAAUUAACCUACCUGAUUUAUUUAUAGGAUUUUCUUUCUUUUUCUUUAUCACUGACUCCUUUGCCCCUCUCAGGCAAAAGGAAAUUUAUAUGUCCUUAAUUCUGCUCUCUUUUAAAAUGCAUAUGAAGUGUUGUCAUUCAGUUGAAAUAUUCUAAUGCUAUUAUUGCAGAAUACUAAUGUGUGUGAAUGGAUGGGAAUAUUUUGCCCAUGUAAGUUAGACCUAAUUGAAUAUUCAUUAUUAAUUUUGUAUCUUACAGAAAAGACUCUUGUUUCCUAAGGCUUAUCAAGACUUUUCAAGACUACCUGAUUUCCAUCCAUUGGCAAAAUUGCAUCUACUAGAUGUAGUAGCUUUUGUUACUGUUCACUAAAUUUUCUAGUUUCCUUCCCUAUGGAGUCCCUUGCUGAGAGACCAUCCAUUGCUGUUCAGUGAUCAUGUGAUUUGUUCUGGCCAAUGAAAUGAGCAGAGGUGACAGAAUUCACUUCAGGGAAGAACCCUUAAGAGCCAGCACACAGUUCUUUGAUCCUCUUUUCCCUGUUUCAAGAGACUGGCAAUCAUCAGUCAUUGCUCCAUAAGCCUAAGUCUUAAAACAGAGCCUUUAGCUGUUUAGGGAUGGACACUUACCAUCAUUGAGAAGUAAACCCUUCUUGUUGCAAACCACUGAGAUUUUAAAGAUCACUGAAAUUAGGAGGCCACUGAGUUAUCUCAAGGAAUAUGUAAUCCUGCCAAUUUACAUGAGCAGCAACCUGGCAAGCAUGUGUAGGAAUGGUUUCUAAAGGUGAUAGAUCAAAGAGAAUUAACUGUGAAAUUGAAUUAGGCAAAAUUUACCUUAUCCUAACACUUACAAAACUAGCAAUUUUUUUUUUUACUUGUAGUCACUUUUCAUGAUUCUCAAAUAGGGUUAGUUUACAGACCUCUUUGAUGCAAAGACACAGAAGACUGUAUUUGCCAAAACUUAAAUUCUCACAUACUUACUCUUGGCUAUGUGAUAUUUAACAUCUCAUACAGCAUUUCUUCCCAGAUAUGGGAGGCUAGGUAAGAUAUCCCUCCAGGCAGUGCCAUUGCAUCUUGUGCUUUCCAGUUAUAAUAUAUUAAAUGUCUAUUUUCCCUGCUACAAUCUUUGUUUCAUGAAGGCAAAGAAUGUCCUGUUCUAUUGUACCAGUCAGGCUAAUGGCAGGAAACUGGAAUUUGAAAGAAAUUGAAUGAAAGGACUUUUUUUGCGCGUUAUUGGCAAGAUUAAGUAAUCACCCAGAGAUGUUGAGGCACCCAGAAACUAGUAAUAUCAGGAAGAAAAUAAUAUCUGUAUGUCUGAAGGAAAGAAAAUGGUACAGUUAGAUUUUUUUGUAGACUAGAACAAUAGAACAACAAUAGAACAAUUGUUCUAUUGUAGAACAAUAGAAGUGGAGUCACUCAAUAGGAGCCGCAAUAAUACAUCAUACUUCCACAAUAGUACACCAAAAAAGGGAAAUCUCUGGGGAAGAAAUACCCUGGUCUCUUUCUCCAUCUCCUACCAGGAGCCUCCCACUGACUGAAUCUCACAGAAGGUCAGAGGAUGAGGAAGGCUGUUGAUACAGCUCACAGAGAUCAGCUCCUUACAGACAGAGAGCAAAGCAGAGAAGGAUGAAGGAUGGGACUUGGGAGGGCAGACAGAAGAAUGUACAUACCUCUUUAUUGAUACAUUUCCAGUUCCUGCUUGUUUGCCAUGUACAUAAGAAGUGCUUAAAGAUAUGUGAUGAAUGAAAGAAUGAAUAAUGAAAGGCAAAGUAAUCUGAAUGCUAAGAUGCAAGCUGCAUUUCUUAUUUUUUUAGGGAAUUAUUUUACUUCAACAGGUUGUUUUCUCAUUGAAUGUUGUCAUAAGGUCCUUUCAGUUAUUGGUAUUAAAUACUUAUAAACCACAUUUUGAACUCCUAUGAAGAACACCGAGAAGUAAAGUAACUGGGGAAGCAUUGUGAAAGAGAUCAUACUGGCAUGCAAAAAUGAAGUGGCUCAAUUUGAACAAGUUUAUUGAGAAGUUAAUUAAGUAAAAAGGGUAAGUCAUAAGACGUAAUUCAUGGUAUGCAGUGACAACACGAUUACUCAUGUAAUCGCUGGUAUUGAUACUGGGUGGAAUGUCAGCUGGUGCAAGGCAUUAGGAAAUUAUGUGGUUGUGUUAUUUGAUCACCAUGGCAACAAUGAUAAUUAAAAGAUUCAGAGAUGGGUUGGCUAUCUCUUUGUUGUAGAGCUUAUAAGAAAGAAAAAGUCAUGCCUAGUGCUUGAACUCUUAAACCAGAACAUGAAAGCAAUAUCAGAAAGUUUCUACGGAAGUUUUAAGGAAGAUUUUCUAACCUAGGGUACACAUUUAGAAUUCAUGUUUCUUAUGUUAUAUUUCUUAUGUAGGGCAUUUGUUGGGAAGAAAUGAAACACUGACAUUUGGGAUGGAACAUUUAGGAAGGCAUAGAUGAGGCUGAGAAUUUAGAAUUUCUGAUUGUCUUGAACCUGCUUUAAGAGUGAACGCAGCUCUCUUCCAUUGUCUGAAAAACCAGUUUUUCCUUGCAAAUAAACUUUUCAGUAACUUCUGUUCUCCUCAAGAUACUCCUCCCUCAUUCAACACCCCUUACCACCUUUAGGUCUUUAAAGAGAAUUAAAUACUAGCGUAACCCUGAGGGAAAACUGCAAGAUUGACUCUGGGAGGAGAUCAUUUUACCAAUUUGUAUAAGCAAGAAUCUGGCAGGCAUGAAUUAGGUUGAAUUCUAAAGAGAUUACAGUUAAGGGGAAUGAACUGUAAAACUGAAUUAGGACAGUGGUUUUCAAAGUGUGGUCAUUGGGCCAAGCCAGCAUCAAUUGUCACCUGAGAACCUGUUAGAAAUGCAAAUUCCCCAGUCUUAUCCUAGACCUACUGAAUCAGAAACUCUAAGGUAUGGGACCCAGAAAUCUGUUUUAACAAAUCCCCUAGGUGAUUCUACUACAGGUUAAAGUUUGAGAACCACUGGAAUAUGCUAAAUGUAUAUAUGUGGCCUCUACUAGGAUUUGAGGUUUAGUAUUUUAGCUAGGACACUUGGGAGUGAGUCUAAUGGUUAGCUGGUUAAUGAAAGCCUGGACUUAACCGUUGCUCAUGGUCAAUGAGGUUAAGAUUACAGGUCUACCCUGACAAAAUGUAGAAAAUGAAGUUUGAUGCCUUAGAGACAUGAGAACAGAUUUAAAACGUGCAAUUUGCUUUACCAUCCUCUUACCUUCCGUACCCCCAGAACACCCUGAGGAAACUUCUUUCAUUCAAAACAUAUUAAAAUGCACUGGUGAGAGUAACAGCCACAUCCGUGAAAACCUCUGUGGUGGCUGUCCCUAGCAGCUGAUGAUGGACAUGGGUGAUGUUGCCAUGAAAACGACACCCUGAUUUGAAUAGAAAAAAAAAAAAAGGGAUCCCAGAGUAGUAGGGCCAAGUGUCCGUUCUUAACUGUGAGUCAAUGUGGCACAAUUAUCCUAAAAGGAUAUAGUUUCCAGAGUUGCAAUCAGAGUGUUUUGACUCACAUGGACAUGUGCCCAUAACUAAGUGAUCAUAAGGUCACUGGGAAUUGAAUAGAUGGGCAACCUUCUAAGGUGUUUCUUGACUUGUUACAAAAUAAAAAGUGACUUAGGUUGUCAUAGUGAGAAUUCUUAGCCUCAUACCCAUCUUCCAGACUUAAGCCAAGUCACAGAUUUAAAGCCCUUUUAAUUAAGGAACAAGCCAGGUUCUUUUGAGGAAGAACGUGGCCUGCAAUAUGGCCAUAAAUGAGCUCCAUGGGUUUUCCAAAUAAAGCUACCAAGUCACUUACCAGGAUACUUUUUCUGGGGGAGAGAAAUUUUCAGGUCUUCUGGAGAUUUUUAGAUACUGCCUCUGAGAUAAUGCUAGGUCUUAGGAUGUAAAACACCAUCAUGUUCCAGUAGUCAGAGCAUGGACUUAUGGAGAUCAAUGGAUAAAAAAAGGCCUGACUCCAUUCUGCCUGAAAGUGGCUCCAAUAAGUCUGCUGACCCCCUGUGGUUAUUUGCACAAUUUCUGAGUCUAUUUUAAAAUAGUUUUUUUUUUUUUUCUUCAGCUGAGGCACCAGCUUAGAAACACUGGUGAAUUUAGGUUGCUGUAGAGUGCUUUCAACUAACGGGAGACAUAUAUUGCCAUCCUUCCAUAGCCAGAAUCUAGAGGUUGAGGAACCAAAGGGUGGAGGUGGGAGCUACCUCUUUCACUAUUAUAUAUUUCACUUAAAGGUUCAGAAGUUUUAGAAGUCCUAAUUCCCAAGGUAGGACAAUUUCUGCCAGGAAACAUAGUUGCUGUUUCAUUACCUUAGAAGCUGAGACUAUCCUUUGGCCAUUUUGGGCUUCUCAUGCUGAAGAACCAACAGGAAGACCUUACUCUACUGAAUGAGGUAAUUGGAUCCAGUUGCCACGGGGAAAUUGGGUCACUGUGAUACAGUAGGGGCAAGAAGAGUAUGGCGGAACUAAGAGGUUUCACUGAAGAACCUCUUACUAUUCUAUAAGAAUAGUCAAUGGAAAUUGGAAUUCAAUAAAGACAGCACUACUAAAGAUUUUAAAUCAUGGGAAUAAAGGUUUGGGUCACCCUACCAAGGAAGGAACCCCAAUCAGCAAAAAUACAGGGUAAAACAAGUGAUGGAUAUCAUUUUAGGUCUCAUGAUCAGUUAUAGAAUCAGGUAUUAUAGUGGCUGUAUCUUAUGUUAAUUUAUGUUUUCUUUUUCCUCUUUGCUACUGAAUAUGAAAAGUUCUGAUGGAAGGUAAAUUAUAAUUUAAGUUUUAGAAAAGGGCAUGAAUGAACUGAAAUUAUCCCAUGAUUACAGAAUAGUUGAUGGGAUUUAGUAUCACUUUUGUGUGGAGAGCAAGAGUUGCUUCAUAAAAGGGCAGAAAUACAUGCUGGGAGGCAAAGGGCAAACUGUGCUGGUUGCUUUCUGACUUUUCUCCCUUCCCGUGUAUCAAUUAGCUAUUGCUGCAUAACAAAUUACUUCCACAUUUGAUACCUUAAAACAAUAAUUCUUUAUUAUCUCACAAUUUCAGUGGGGCAGAAACCUAGACAUAGCUUAGCUACAUCCUCUGGCUCAGGAUCUUUCAGAGGGCUGAAGACUCAUGCAAAGACUUGACUAGUGAGAGAUUCACUUCCAAGCUCACUCGCAUGAAUAUUGCCAGGAUUCAGUUCCUCAUGGCAUUGUUGGGCUGAAGACCUCAGCAACUUGCUAGGCUUGAGGCUUAUCUCAUUUCCUUGCCAUGUAGGACUCUCCAUAGGGAAGUUUGUACCCUGGCAAUUGGCUUCCCAUAGAAUGAGCAAGUGAGACAGCAAGAGAAUAUCCAAGAUGGAAGCUGAAGCUAGGAGCCAGGAUGGAACCAUAUCAUGGAAGUGACGUUCUAACACUUCUGUCAUAUUCUUUUCAUCAGAAGUUUGUGACUAUGUCCAUCCCACUUUUAAGGGGAGGAUAUUACACAAGGGAAUGAAUACCAGAAGGCAGGGAUCAUUGGGAGCUACCUUAGGUGCUACUUCUCAUAACCCCAAUUCAUUCUCUGCCUUUAUUUGGAUCUUAGUUGGACUGCACCAGUCAGGUUCUUGCCCUCUGGCUUUCUGUUGGGUUUUGCCAAUAAGAGUUCUAGCAGGAGAAUAAAAGAUGAAAGAGAAGUCAGAAUAUUUCUUUCCCUGCUUUCUGCCUUCAUGCUGUGUGUCUGGCUGUACUUUUCUGCCUUAUGGCCCUGCUUCCCUGGCUCUAGCCCUCCCUGAAUACUGGUAACACCAUUUCCUUGCCUGGGAGGUUUAGGCCUGGGGACAUUUUAGGCUUCCCAUAUUUGCCUGUGUCUGGACACCUCAGUAUCCCUUGCUGAUUCUUCACUUCUGCACACACCUCUAUAAAUGAUCUUUCCAUUGAAUUAAAAAAAAUGUUUAUUUAUUUACUUUUGAGAGAGAGAGAAAGAGAGUGCAUGCAUGAACGGGGAAGGGGCAGAGAGUGAGAAUCCUAAGUAGGCUCCAUGUUGUCCGUACAGAGUCCAGUGCAGGGCCUGAUCCUACAAACUGUGAGAUCAGAACCUGAGCCAAAAUCAAGAGUCAGACGCUUAACUGACUGAGCCACCCAGGUGUUUCCCUGCUAGCAUCUUGAAUGAUACGUAUCUCUUAAGGGAAGAGAUUAUAUAUUGAUAUUUUUUUGGUCCUUGUGUUUAACAUGGUAGGCACUUAGUCAAUGUUGGAUGAUUAAGUAGAUGGAUGGACAGAUGAACCUAGUUUGAGUGUUAUGAAAGAAAGGAAAGAGAAAAUAUUUUUAAUUAUAUGAAAAUUCUUCACUGAUGCAGAAUAGGCCUUGUAUGUUUCAUCUGAGACCAUAAGGAAAAAAAGAAUUAAGUGAUCUCUAAAGAGAAAUGGCAA